Molecule: ribosomal RNA, 253 nt
Filed under: uncultured bacterium
Lineage: Bacteria
Description: partial 16S ribosomal RNA
Rfam family: Bacterial small subunit ribosomal RNA
Source: RNAcentral
UACGUAGGGUGCGAGCGUUGUCCGGAAUUAUUGGGCGUAAAGGGCUCGUAGGCGGUUUGUCGCGUCGGGAGUGAAAUCCACUGGCUUAACUGGUGGCUUGCUUUCGAUACGGGCAGACUGGAGGUAUGCAGGGGAGAACGGAAUUCCUGGUGUAGCGGUGAAAUGCGCAGAUAUCAGGAGGAACACCAAUUGCGAAGGCAGCUCGCUGGGACGUAACUGACGCUGAGACGCGAAAGCGUGGGGAGCAAACAGG